RNAcentral lists this unclassified non-coding RNA (1036 nucleotides) under Hevea brasiliensis (rubber tree). The record is from RNAcentral. Lineage: Eukaryota; Viridiplantae; Streptophyta; Magnoliopsida; Malpighiales; Euphorbiaceae.
ACUUGUUAUUGUAGGACACAAACACUUGUUUUGUCGGUUGAAUUUUGCCAUCAUCCCAAUACUCAAACCCAGUACUAAUACAAUAGCUUUCGCCAUAAUUGGACUUGAAUUGGCAUUCCAGUGUCGUCCAUAUAAAAUCUGAGGUAUGGUUCAAUUUAAAAAUAGCACUCAGUGUGAAACCCAAGAAAUUGUGAUACCAAUUUGAAGAUAGAGGAACAGUACUUGAAUCUCCUAUGCUUUGAUAUUGGAUCCACUUUGGGAUUUUAUUUCCAGGAAGGAUGACGGUCAAUUGCUUUCCAAAAAGUCCGCAAUUGGUAUAAAAUUCCUAACGCCAUGCAUAUAAUUCAAUAUUAGCGAUGGUGCUGCAGAGAGAGCCAAAGAGAGAGAGAGAGAGUAUAUAUAUUUACAUACUUGACGUUGUUUGAUUGUUGCAUGUGCUAGAAGUAAUAUUCUGUGUCGCAUAUGUCUUAGAAUGUUUCUACGUUCAUAUUGAUUCAAACUUGCGCAAUUCGCAAAAACAAAAUAUCCCCAACCUUGUGUGAGUGCCAUUAUUGAGUUUGAAACUGCUUGCAGAGAUGUGCAAUGAGGUGAAUUUACAGCUACCAAAGACAGUGGAAGAUGUGGCAAAGAUAGAAGCCUUAAGCAGCAAACCAAGUGGAGUUCUUGAAGCCUUGAGAGAAGCUUAAUGCUUGAAGGUAUGCUCUCAAUCUCGCUUCCUUCUAGAGAUAAUAUGGUCAAUGAAACAAAGGAAGAAAGUGUAUUUAUAAGCACCGAUGGAUUGACGUAUGGCCCAGAUAUCAAAAGCUCGUCAAGACGUCCCAAUUGGAAAAGUGUAUUUGGGAGAAUCUUAAGGUUAAGGCAACCAGCCAAAGAAAGUUUCUCAAGACUAGAGAGCGACCGUAUUGAUGAGGGUAUUUCUUCUGUUGUUGUAUUUCUUAGUCCUAGUACUUUAUACUCUCUGGAAUUUCUGGAAACUUUUUUUUAUUUUUGUGCAAUGAGAGAGAUAAAGUAGUUCAAAAGAUGUCAAACCUUUGGU